GGCUUUGUCUCCCCCCUUUCCUUAAAUUGAAAGAGCUUUGGGAUUGUAUUUCUUUUGUAAUUUUAAAAGCCAUUUCUUAGUCUAGUGUACUUAGUCUGUGAACUGGAGGAAAUAUUGAAUUUGAACUAGCAACAGUGCUCUCAAAUUCAAUUCUGUGCAUUCAUUUUCUGAGAAAUAGAAGCUUAUGUGCAUUAGUAGUGUGUGUGAACAUUUUUAGGAAUUAAUGUACUGUGGAUGCAUAAUUCCAUAUACAGUAGAUACAGAUACUACAAUCAUCUGCAUUGUACAGUCCUCUGAGGAUCCUUUUUACAGUUGUUUUGCAGAGAUGCAUUUGGGCAAAAUGGAUCUUCGGUGACUUCUGGCAGGUAGAUUUGUUACUGUACAGGGUGACAUUCUGG
Non-coding RNA from Pelobates cultripes (western spadefoot toad), 398 nucleotides. NCBI's taxonomy places the organism in Eukaryota, Metazoa, Chordata, Amphibia, Anura, Pelobatidae. The record is from the annotation of a GenBank genome assembly.